AUGGAUAUACACCUGCAGGUGUUGUGCUGGAAUGUGAGGGGCCUCAACAAUCCAGCCAAAAGGAAGGCCGUUCGGGAGUUUGUGGAAACGGUUAAGGUGAACCUAGUUUGCUUUCAGGAAACAAAAAUGGAUGUAAGGGACCAAUAUGUUGUAAUGCAAUGCUUGGGGCCAUCGUUUUAUGGUUUCGCGUAUGUGCCGGCGGUGGAUACUUGUGGUGGUAUUCUCUUGGCGUGGGAUAGCUCGGUGCUACAGGUGGAUAACAUCAUGCUCAAUACUAGCUUUCUCACAGGCAGGGUGCAUGCCAAGCUGGGGGACCCUUGGUGGAUCACUGUGGUGUAUGGGCCACAAGGAGAUGAGAGGAAAACUCAGUUCUUACAUGAGAUCAAGGAUUGGCGUGUGGGGUGUCCGGGACCUUGGAUGUUACUUGGUGAUUUCAACAUGAUCAAUAGGGCCACGGACAAAAACAACUCCAACGUGCACAGAAGGAUGAUGGGUCGUUUUCGAGACUUUGUGGAUGAUCAUGAGCUAAAAGAGAUGUACAUGCAGGUGUGA
RNAcentral lists this ribosomal RNA (552 nucleotides) under Triticum aestivum (bread wheat). RNAcentral describes it as "partial small subunit ribosomal RNA". The record is from RNAcentral. Lineage: Eukaryota; Viridiplantae; Streptophyta; Magnoliopsida; Poales; Poaceae.